RNAcentral lists this non-coding RNA (28 nucleotides) under Mus musculus (house mouse). The record is from RNAcentral. Lineage: Eukaryota; Metazoa; Chordata; Mammalia; Rodentia; Muridae.
UGGAGCCUCAGAUAACAGAAGCCAUGGG